AGAGUUUGAUCCUGGCUCAGAGCGAACGCUGGCGGCAGGCUUAACACAUGCAAGUCGAGCGGGCGUAGCAAUACGUCAGCGGCAGACGGGUGAGUAACGCGUGGGAACGUACCCUUUGGUUCGGAACAACACAGGGAAACUUGUGCUAAUACCGGAUAAGCCCUUACGGGGAAAGAUUUAUCGCCGAAAGAUCGGCCCGCGUCUGAUUAGCUAGUUGGUAGGGUAAUGGCCUACCAAGGCGACGAUCAGUAGCUGGUCUGAGAGGAUGAUCAGCCACAUUGGGACUGAGACACGGCCCAAACUCCUACGGGAGGCAGCAGUGGGGAAUAUUGGACAAUGGGGGCAACCCUGAUCCAGCCAUGCCGCGUGAGUGAUGAAGGCCCUAGGGUUGUAAAGCUCUUCUGUGCGGGAAGAUAAUGACGGUACCGCAAGAAUAAGCCCCGGCUAACUUCGUGCCAGCAGCCGCGGUAAU
RNAcentral lists this ribosomal RNA (472 nucleotides) under uncultured bacterium. Its description in RNAcentral is "bacterial SSU rRNA". It matches the Rfam family "Bacterial small subunit ribosomal RNA", at positions 8 to 524 of the family's 1533-position model. The record is from RNAcentral.